UUCCUAUGUUUGAUUAGGUGAGUAUAUUGUGAUUUUAAUUAACCUAAAAUUCUUUUCUUUUUUUUAAGAUUUUAUUUAUUUGACAGAGACAGACAGCCAGCACGAGAGAGAACACAAGGAGGGGGAGUGGAAGAGGAAGAAGCAGGCUCGCAGCGGAGGAGCCUGAUGUGGGGCUCAAUCCAGGAACGCUGGGAUCACGCCCUGAGCCGAAGGCAGACGCUUAACGACUGCGCCACCCAGGCACCCCAAUUUACCUAAAAUUCUUAUUUCAAAGUGUUUACUUGGCUUCUGUGGCAUUAAGAAUUAACAGGAGUUGCAGAGUUCUCUUCUUUAAAAUUUCAGCCAGCCCAGAAUUGGCAUGGAUUGUAUCAAAGACACAAACUUCAUCCCAGAGUGAUUACAGUAACAGCUUACAAAAAUGGAUCUAGAACAGUCUUUGCCAAAGUUACAGUACCAACCAUCGCCUUGUUGCUGGAGGAGUGCACAGAAAAGCGAAUCUGAACAUGGCCGCUCGAGGAGUGUUCUUGGCAGACGGCAGUGAAGCCCUCAAACCUGAAGAUACACCCUGUGAAGCCGACGUUUAUGUUUCAACAGGAGAGCCCUUUUUAGAUCCAUUCAAAAAAAUUAAAGAAGUAUUUUUUUUCUGCAACUGCUACAAAGCUGGUGAACCAAGGACAAGUCUAGACAGUAAUUGCAUACAUGGAAGAGAAGUAAUUAUGGAGUUCAUUACAGAUUAGGUUUUAGAUACUUGCACAAUGAGAAUGAACCUAAAUUCGCCAGCCAGAUAUCUUUAUGAUUUGUAUGGCAGAACAAUUAAAGAUAUUUCAAAAGGUAAGUGACAAAGAUUUUAUUAACUCUAUGAUAACAUUUCAAAAGGCAUUACAUAAUUUUGUUUUUACUUUGUAUAUUUAAAAGGAAAACAGCUAUAAUAAAAGUGUAGUUUUAACAUGUCUAAAUAUGUCA
RNAcentral lists this long non-coding RNA (963 nucleotides) under Ursus maritimus (polar bear). RNAcentral's name for it is "lncRNA (ENSUMAG00000024849.1)". Lineage: Eukaryota; Metazoa; Chordata; Mammalia; Carnivora; Ursidae. The record is from RNAcentral.